UGACGUCACAUCCGCCCAAACCGGAUGUCUCGAAAAAAAAACCACAGAAGAAGAAGACAGGCUUCUUCGAAGAAAAAAAGAAUAUAAAGAAAAUAAACAACUAAGGGCGGUUCUGUGAAGAACGAUAAAAGACUCCAAGGUGGUUGGAGUACAAGGACAUCCGGGGCACUCCCUGCGCCGGAAACGUCCGUGUCACCAGGUCAGUGACCAUGUGAUAAAGGUAAGUAUUGUGGUAUUGUUUUGGUGUUUUUUCAGGUCACUGGAGUACGAGGACAUCCAGGGCAUUCUCCGCACCGGAAAUGUCCGUGUCCCCAGGAACAACUCGUAGACCAGGAGUCCCCAACCGCCGGCUCUUUGAUGUCUCUGAUGCGGCUCAGCUUGUCACGGCCAGCUCAGCUCGUCAAACCUCAGGACACGCCCACGGCCGCCAGGACGGUGACAUGUGGGUGUCCAGCUGGUAGGACAUGUGGGUGUCCAAGUUAAAGCACCUGACAGCACGCCUUGAAGAUGUUUCACGCCAGAAGGCCGUUCUUGCUCAGAAUCACAAAUAGUGUGAUAUUGAAAACCUCCCCAAGCCAGACUAACUUGUGUUCAAAACUUGGAACGCUAUCCCUCAAUUUUUUGUGAACAUGAAAAAGUAUGCACUUGGAGUUCUGUCCUUCUUUGGAUCCACAUAUGCAUGUGAGCAGGUGUUCUCCAACAUGAACUUUAUUAAAAACAAACAUAUGCAUGUCAGCAGGUGUUCUCCAACAUGAACUUUAUUAAAAACAAACAUAUGCAUGUGAGCAGGUGUUCUCCAACAUGAACUUUAUUAAAAACAAACAUAUGCAUGUGAGCAGGUGUUCUCCAACAUGAACUUUAUUAAAAACAAAGAUGGCACAGGCCUCACAGAUGAGUUUACAAUCCUGUGUGAAGAUAAAGGUGACGUCAUACUGCCCCUAUGUGGAGACGCUGGGCGCUGCGGUUCAGGAGCAAAAUUCACAUUGACCACGUAUGAUAAAUAUUUGAAUUUCCUAUACUUUUGCAUAUAUUCCCAUUUUUUAAUUGUUCAGCGAAAUAGACAUUUUAUCAUCUAGGUUGGCAGCUGAUGCACGGCGCCAGUAAAAAGAUGACGACACAGAGAGAGAGGACGGCAUUUUUGGUUCUCUGCCAGUAGAUCAUUUAAGUUGGGCCUUGUGUUUUUUCAUUACUACAAGGAAGCCUUAAAUAGACAUUAAGUAUUUUACUUAACCUUCAACCUGACGUCUUUUUUGGAGUUAAAAACGUUUUGUUGCAUGCAGAAAUGUAAUUCCAUUUUUUCUGCAGUCGUUCAUUGAUUUCAUAAACGUAAUCCAUCAUAGUUUGUUUAUACAUA
Molecule: long non-coding RNA, 1354 nt
Organism: Nerophis ophidion (straightnose pipefish)
Lineage: Eukaryota; Metazoa; Chordata; Actinopteri; Syngnathiformes; Syngnathidae
Exons: 3
Source: RefSeq, a predicted model, not a curated record